Non-coding RNA from Phaseolus vulgaris (common bean), 119 nucleotides. The record is from Rfam. Lineage: Eukaryota; Viridiplantae; Streptophyta; Magnoliopsida; Fabales; Fabaceae.
AGGUACGAUCAUAGCAGCAUUAAUGCACCGAAUCCCAUCAGAACUCCGCAGAGAAGCUUGCUUGGGCGAGAGUAGUACUAGGAUGGGUGACCUCCUGGGAAGUCCUCGUGUUGCACUUC